UGAACUAGCAAAUAUGGCGAAAGAGAGAGCCACAAGAGACGUGAUCAGCGAUGAAAGGUGCAACGAGAUGAGAGAACAAAGAGAUAAAAAGAGAUAAAAUAAAAUCAACAAACCGUGGAGCCAUCCUGAAACUAUGAAAAAUAGCAUAGAAGUCAGAGCACCAAAAAUCCGAUCUUGAAAACUAAAACGAGCAGAGACUAUUGACGGUAAACCAUCGAAAGGGAAAACAACAUCAAUAACAACUAAACUCUAACCCAACCCAACGAGAUGUAGUUUCUAACCUUAGCCAAAACCUAAGGAAAAAGAUGAUCGUAUUGACCGAAAUAGCAUAUAACGCCGUAAGAAA
RNAcentral lists this long non-coding RNA (346 nucleotides) under Brassica napus (rape). RNAcentral describes it as "long non-coding RNA (BNAP_LNC006057)". Lineage: Eukaryota; Viridiplantae; Streptophyta; Magnoliopsida; Brassicales; Brassicaceae. The record is from RNAcentral.